Molecule: long non-coding RNA, 1756 nt
Organism: Hemicordylus capensis (graceful crag lizard)
Lineage: Eukaryota; Metazoa; Chordata; Lepidosauria; Squamata; Cordylidae
Exons: 3
Source: RefSeq, a predicted model, not a curated record
AUUUUGACAAGGAAAGCAAAAUGAAAUAUUACUGCAUGUGCUGAAGAGAGGGCGUAUACAGUAUUUCAUUUAAAAAAAAAUUAAACAUGCAAACAUGUUCCUGAAGUGGUAUGGCAUUGCUGCAAGGGAGCAGAUGGAUUUGUACUUUAAAAAAAAAAAAAAAGGAUUACUGUAACACGAAUGCUCAUGUGGGUACAGGAACUUCAUUAAAAUAUUCCCAAAUGGGGUCUCUCUUAUGGCCUGCUGACAUGACAGAUGUUUCCAUUCAACAAUAAAGACUGUUCCUCACCUUGCUGGAGUGGUUGUGGGAUGAAGGGAAUCUAUUUUCAUCUUUGGUGGACCUGCAGGGUCUUACACUUUGGGUCAGAGCCACAGGGUCUUCCCACAAUUAAAAGCUGCCAAUUAAAAUGGAUACAGUCAUGAGGAAAAUUCAAGAUAUGAAACCUCAAAGGAAAAUCACAGUAGGAAACCGACAUAUAUAAUCAGCUCCUAUUAUUAUCACUUAUAAAAGCGUCAUCUCCUCUGCUCAUUAGAUAGCUAGCUAUUGUACGGCACCGAGGGACUCCGCACCAGAGAUAUAUAGUCUAAAAUCACUAGGUGCUGUGCAAAAAUUAAAAAUUAAACAGCAGAUCCUGCCUGCAGAAGAGAAGUCUCAACACCGGAAGGCUGACGUCUAAGCUUGCCAGAGAUAAUCACUCCAGAAGUUGCCACGGGGCAGACAGACCCUCAUUAAAAGCAACGGCCGCUCUUUUCUUUGUGUUUGGCUACAAAUGAACAAGAACAUCAGAGUGAUUGAGAGCAAUUCUUUUGUGACCUGCUUGAUCUAAUCGGGAGCUGUGCCAACAAGCCACCCCAAAGGCAGCUGUGUUGAGGGGCAUGGGAAAUCUGACUGCAAUCUGAACAGAGGCACCCUUUAGGGAGGGCAGAGAGUAUCCAAAUCGGGCACCUAGGUGCACUGCCCAUGUGGUGAUUUGCCAGGAGGCUGGUCUAUUAAAGGUAGAAACUAGGGCUUGGCUGUUAAUCAUUUGUUAUUGGCUGAAACUUCAUCUUCAACUAGUAGGACUUGUACCCAAAUUUCUAUCGGUCACGCCCCAGCCGUCUUGGUGUUUGAAGAUAGUCAAUAAACUCCUUUUCCUUGGAUUAACUCCAGACUCUUUACUUGAAAUGGACCUUGUGAGAGCAAAAAACAUGGUCCGUCAGCCACUGGAGGAGGAUAUUGAGCUGCAGAAUGAGGUGACUUGUCUGCCUGCAUUCUAUAGAUCAUUAAAGAUCGGGUCGGGUUCUUCUUCUGCACUGUAUUUGACAUCUAUUACUUUUUCUAAAUUGCACUGGGCCGUCUCGAGAGCCCGUUUUAAUGCUUUCCCCUCAGCUUUGCUCACCUGGAAGUUUCAACAUCUACCCAUGGAGGCUUAGCUUUGUCCUUGCGGCUCCGGUGAAAUCGAAACUAUUGCUCAUAUUUUAUUGUACUGCAGUUUCUAUCGGGAUUUUAGGCACUGUCUGGUUUCACCCUUAUUGACUAGAUUCCCUGGACAUUCUGAUGAUUUUCUAGUUAAAUUUUUACUUGCGGAUAAUGACUCUUUUAUUUCUUAUACCGUGGCGAAAUUUUGUUAUAUAGCCAUUAGGGUGCGCAGCUCCUUGACUGAUUCAAAGGGGAGCUCGGACUGUUUAUGAGACUGCUGCGAUGACAAUUUGGUACCACUCUAAUUGCUAUUGUGAUAUUGUUUGUCCGUCUUUUGCUAUUGCAACCUUUGUAAUU